RNAcentral lists this ribosomal RNA (408 nucleotides) under uncultured bacterium. Its description in RNAcentral is "partial 16S ribosomal RNA". It matches the Rfam family "Bacterial small subunit ribosomal RNA", at positions 28 to 526 of the family's 1533-position model. The record is from RNAcentral.
GACGAACGCUGGCGGCGUGCUUAACACAUGCAAGUCGAACGAAGUGGCGCACGGGUGAGUAACGCGUAAUCAACCUGCCCUUCAGAGGGGGACAACAGUUGGAAACGACUGCUAAUACCGCAUACUGAAGGAGGGGAUUGCGUCUGAUUAGCUAGUUGGGGGGGUAACGGCCCACCAAGGCGAUGAUCAGUAGCCGGUCUGGAAGGAUGAACGGCCAAAUUGGGACUGGGAACAGGCCCAGACUCCUACGGGAGGCAGCAGUGGGGAAGCUUCCGAAAUGGAAGAAAGUCUGAAGGAACAACGCCGCGUGAGUGAUGACGGCCUUCGGGUUGUAAAGCUCUGUUAAUCGGGACGCGGUACCGGAAUAGAAAGCCACGGCUAACUACGUGCCAGCAGCCGCGGUAAUAC